This 510-nucleotide ribosomal RNA is filed under the name uncultured bacterium. RNAcentral describes it as "partial 16S ribosomal RNA". It matches the Rfam family "Bacterial small subunit ribosomal RNA", at positions 28 to 507 of the family's 1533-position model. The record is from RNAcentral.
GACGAACGCUGGCGGCGUGCUUAACACAUGCAAGUCGAACGAAGAGCGAUGGAAGCUUGCUUCCAUCAAUCUUAGUGACGAACGGGUGAGUAACGCGUAAUCAACCUGCCCUUCAGAGGGGGACAACAGUUGGAAACGACUGCUAAUACCGCAUACGAUCUAACCUUGGCAUCGAGGAUGGAUGAAAGGUGGCCUCUAUUUAUAAGCUAUCAUUGAAGGAGGGGAUUGCGUCUGAUUAGCUAGUUGGAGGGGUAACGGCCCACCAAGGCGAUGAUCAGUAGCCGGUCUGAGAGGAUGAACGGCCACAUUGGGACUGAGACACGGCCCAGACUCCUACGGGAGGCAGCAGUGGGGAAUCUUCCGCAAUGGACGAAAGUCUGACGGAGCAACGCCGCGUGAGUGAUGACGGCCUUCGGGUUGUAAAGCUCUGUUAAUCGGGACGAAAGGCCUUCUUGCGAAUAGUUAGAAGGAUUGACGGUACCGGAAUAGAAAGCCACGGCUAACUACGUG